AAGAAACAUAGAGAGGAGCCAGAAAGGGGUGUAUUUUGGUGACCUGACCUAAUUUUUUCUGUGGAAGCUCAGAUCUAAAUGAAGAGUUAGUAUUGGCCAGGCAAAUGGCUCAAUGUUCUGGACACAAGCAAGGGCAUGCCCAGAGCCCAGCGGUAGGAGAGGAUAGGGCUUGGCACGUUGGAGGAUGACCAGGGGGCCGGUCCGGUGGGAUGUGGAGUGGGUGGAAGGGAGGCUGGAGGAGGUGGCACUAAAUUGGGGCUAACAGCGAUGGGCGAUUAUCAGAGAUUUUUAAGAAGGUAAAUGCUCUAAUAACAUAGACUUUUUUAAAACAGUUUGCCCCACUGUGUUUUAUUUACAGAGGUAUAAUUUGCAGUGAAGUGCACAAAUCGGUGAAAUUUUACGUAUGCAACCUUUAUCACUCACCACCCAAACCAGAGUGGUGUCUUCCCAACACCCCAGGGCCUCUAGUCCUUUUCCAGCGUUGCCUGAAGACACAAACUACUGAUGGCUGCAUCCACAUGACUGACUUCAAACACAGCACGCUGCACGAGAAAAGCCGGAUACGCGCGUGGAAAGUGGGUGGCUCCACCACCCUGCUGUUCAGGGUCUUUAUUUCUUUGAUGUACAGCUCCAUAAAGAUGCCAGUGCAAUUCUUCUCCUUUCUAUCAGAGGUCCUUAAGUAA
Pan troglodytes (chimpanzee) is the source of this 683-nucleotide long non-coding RNA. NCBI's taxonomy places the organism in Eukaryota, Metazoa, Chordata, Mammalia, Primates, Hominidae. The record is from Ensembl.